CUACGGGUGUGCAGCAGUGGGGAAUAUUGGACAAUGGGCGAAAGCCUGAUCCAGCCAUGCCGCGUGUGUGAAGAAGGCCUUCGGGUUGUAAAGCACUUUCAGUGGGGAAGAAAGCCUUGGGGCUAAUACCCUCGAGGAAGGACAUCACCCACAGAAGAAGCACCGGCUAACUCCGUGCCAGCAGCCGCGGUAAUACGGAGGGUGCGAGCGUUAAUCGGAAUUACUGGGCGUAAAGCGCGCGUAGGCGGUCUGAUAAGCCGGUUGUGAAAGCCCCGGGCUCAACCUGGGAACGGCAUCCGGAACUGUCAGGCUAGAGUGCAGGAGAGGAAGGUAGAAUUCCCGGUGUAGCGGUGAAAUGCGUAGAGAUCGGGAGGAAUACCAGUGGCGAAGGCGGCCUUCUGGACUGACACUGACGCUGAGGUGCGAAAGCGUGGGUAGCAAACAGGAUUAGAUACCCUUGUAGUC
This 465-nucleotide ribosomal RNA is filed under the name Vreelandella stevensii. Its description in RNAcentral is "partial 16S ribosomal RNA". It matches the Rfam family "Bacterial small subunit ribosomal RNA", at positions 339 to 795 of the family's 1533-position model. The record is from RNAcentral. Lineage: Bacteria; Pseudomonadati; Pseudomonadota; Gammaproteobacteria; Oceanospirillales; Halomonadaceae.